AACGAACGCUGGCGGCAUGCCUAACACAUGCAAGUCGAACGAGACCUUCGGGUCUAGUGGCGCACGGGUGCGUAACGCGUGGGAACCUGCCCUUAGGUUCGGAAUAACUCCCCGAAAGGGGUGCUAAUACCGGAUAAUGUCUUCGGACCAAAGAUUUAUCGCCUUUGGAUGGGCCCGCGUUGGAUUAGCUAGUUGGUAGGGUAAAAGCCUACCAAGGCGACGAUCCAUAGCUGGUCUGAGAGGAUGAUCAGCCACACUGGAAGUGAGACACGGCCCAGACUCCGCGGGGAGGCAGGAGGGGGGAAUAUUGAACAAGGGGGGAAAGCUUGACCCAGCAAGGCCGGGGGAGUGAGGAAGGCCUUGGGGUUGAAAAGCUUUUUUACCCGGGAGGAUAAUGACAGUACGGGGAGAAUAAGCCCCGCCUAACUCCGUG
This 433-nucleotide ribosomal RNA is filed under the name uncultured bacterium. RNAcentral describes it as "partial 16S ribosomal RNA". It matches the Rfam family "Bacterial small subunit ribosomal RNA", at positions 29 to 507 of the family's 1533-position model. The record is from RNAcentral.